RNAcentral lists this ribosomal RNA (1740 nucleotides) under marine metagenome. Its description in RNAcentral is "bacterial LSU rRNA". It matches the Rfam family "Bacterial large subunit ribosomal RNA", at positions 549 to 2277 of the family's 2925-position model. The record is from RNAcentral.
CCUGAAACCUUGUGCUUACAAGCAGUCGGAGCAGACUUGUUCUGUGACGGCGUACCUUUUGUAUAAUGGGUCAACGACUUAAUUUCAGUAGCAAGCUUAACCGUUUAGGGGAGGCGCAGGGAAACCGAGUCUUAAUAGGGCGCUCAGUUGCUGGAAUUAGACCCGAAACCGGGUGAUCUAUCCAUGGCCAGGGUGAAGGUUAGGUAACACUGACUGGAGGCCCGAACCCACUUAUGUUGAAAAAUGAGGGGAUGAGCUGUGGAUAGGAGUGAAAGGCUAAUCAAGCCCGGAGAUAGCUGGUUCUCUUCGAAAACUAUUUAGGUAGUGCCUCAUGUAUUACCAUUGGGGGUAGAGCACUGUUUCGGCUAGGGGGUCAUCCCGACUUACCAAACCGAUGCAAACUCCGAAUACCAAUGAGUACGAGCAUGGGAGACAGACUGCGGGUGCUAACGUCCGUAGUCGAGAGGGAAACAACCCAGACCGUCAGCUAAGGUCCCAAAUUAUGAUUAAGUGGGAAACAAUGUGGGAAGGCACAAACAGCUAGGAGGUUGGCUUAGAAGCAGCCAUCCUUUAAAGAAAGCGUAAUAGCUCACUAGUCGAGUCGGCCUGCGUGGAAGAUAUAACGGGGCUAAAUCAUAAACCGAAGCUACGGAUCUUAAAUUUAUUUAAGAUGGUAGAAGAGCGUUCUGUAAGCGGUUGAAGGUAAGCUGUAAGGCGAACUGGACGUAUCAGAAGUGCGAAUGUUGACAUGAGUAACGAUCAAAGAGGUGAAAAACCUCUUCGCCGAAAAUCCAAGGUUUCCUGUCCAACGCUAAUCGUGGCAGGGUGAGUCGGCUCCUAAGGCGAGGGCGAAAGCCGUAGUCGAUGGAAAACAGGUUAAUAUUCCUGUACUUCUUAUAAUUGCGAUGGGGUGACGGAGAAGGUUAGGCUAGCACGGCGACGGUUGUCCGUGUUCAAGGUUGUAGACUGAGAUUCUAGGUAAAUCCGGAGUCUCUUAAGGUCAAGAACUGAUAACGACCACUCUUUUGAGUGGGAAGUAGUCGAUACCAUGCUUCCAGGAAAAACCUCUAAGCGUCAGAUUAUAAGAAACCGUACCCCAAACCGACACAGGUGGAUAAGUCGAGAAGACUAAGGUGUUUGAGAGAACUAUGGUGAAGGAACUAGGCAAAAUGGUACCGUAACUUCGGGAGAAGGUACGCCACCAUUGGUGAUGAGACUUGCUCUUUAAGCUGAUGGUGGUCGAAGAUACUAGGUGGCUGCGACUGUUUAUUAAAAACAUAGCACUCUGCAAAAUCGUAAGAUGACGUAUAGGGUGUGACGCCUGCCCGGUGCCGGAAGGUUAAUUGAUGGGGUUAGCUUCGGCGAAGCUCCUGAUCGAAGCCCCGGUAAACGGCGGCCGUAACUAUAACGGUCCUAAGGUAGCGAAAUUCCUUGUCGGGUAAGUUCCGACCUGCACGAAUGGCGUAACGAUGGCCACGCUGUCUCCACCAUAGACUCAGUGAAAUUGAAAUCGCUGUUAAGAUGCAGUGUACCCGCAGCUAGACGGAAAGACCCCGUGCACCUUUACUAUAGGUUCACACUGGACUUUGAUCUUAUUUGUGUAGGAUAGGUGGGAGACUUUGAAGCUGGAACGCUAGUUCUAGUGGAGUCGUCCUUGAAAUACCACCCUUGUAAAAUUGAGGUUCUAACCUAGGUCCAUUAUCUGGAUCGGGGACAGUGUGUGCUGGGUAGUUUGACUGG